Helianthus annuus (common sunflower) is the source of this 1260-nucleotide long non-coding RNA. RefSeq lists it as uncharacterized. The record is from RefSeq and is a predicted model, not a curated record. The transcript has 5 exons. Lineage: Eukaryota; Viridiplantae; Streptophyta; Magnoliopsida; Asterales; Asteraceae.
GUAAUUUACCCCUGAAAUUUUAAGAUAGCAGACGAAGAGUCAUGCCUUAUUCCCUGUUCUUUCAUCAUCUUCUCCCAAUUUUGCCCCCCAAUUCAAUGGAUUACGCCCAUAAUCAAGCCUACACCUGAAUAAGAUGACUCAAAGCGUCACUGCAAUUAGUAAAACAAUCAAUUAGGUCACAUCAUUGAAAUCAAUUCUUGACGAUUGGAUGGCAGCAACCCUAAUUCUCCCGGUGAAGAAGACGAACCGCACAAACGACUAAGUUUUCAUCCAUUUAUAUCCAGUUUCAUCAGAUUGUUAUAAAGGAGAGGUGUGAGGUUUCCCUUCACCACCAUUGUCAUCACCGUCGUUGCCAACCCCACUACCACUGUCUGACGCGAUGGUUGUUGCUUGCAGACCGAUUGAAGAUGAACGAAGGCAAGAUUAUUCAACACAUUCGGCGGACCACAGGAAGGGCACCAGAUUCUUUAGAGGAAGCUCGAAAUAUUAAAGAGUGACUCUUCAUAAAUUGGCAGAUGGGUGGCGCGUAUGGAUCAGCUUCUAGGGAAAAACUUGGUUUGCAGGCAUGUCUUCUUUGGAUUAUUCGACAAUGAAGUGGAAGCUACAGGAGUCUUGUAAUUCUUUAAUUACAUAAUCUUUGAAAGUUAAUGUGUUUAAUGACAUUUCAGAUCAUCAUUUAACAAUGUAAUGGUAGGGAAGCCAUGACCAACUUUGAGUCAAGCAUCUACGGGGAAGAUAGAAGUUUGGAAGCCAUGAAUCAAGUUGAAGGCCCCAAGUUGGGGUUUCAAGGCUGCUGGUGCAGACAAGAAGGCUGAGGCAUGUAGUCCGUGGGCACUGGUAAAGAUCCCUGGAAAUGUUGUUGGGCUACAAGGCUGUUGUUUGACACCAGUAUAUGGACUUUCAAAGGCCUACGCUCAUAAAGUUGAUAUGGACUUCGAUGUUGCUCUGUGUAUGAAGGUCCAACUAUGGGUUAAAAGUCUGCUGUUCAACCACACUAUACUCCUUAUCCAUAUUUGCAUUUGGUUGCUUUAGACAUAUUUUUGGUCAAUCUCUUAGAUGAUAACAAGCUAAAAGGGCCAGAAAAGCUUUACUGAGUUGACGUCCAUGGUGGAGCUAUUGUCUAAGACUCUAAGUCACUUUUCACUUCUUUUUUUUGCCCUAUUUCUCUUUUUAUGCUGCCAACAAUUUUGUGAUAUAAUGUAGUUUUAGUGUUUUAUUUACGUUCAAAUCGUUGAAAAGAAUAAAGAUAUUUUUAAUUCU